Molecule: ribosomal RNA, 308 nt
Filed under: uncultured bacterium
Lineage: Bacteria
Description: partial 16S ribosomal RNA
Rfam family: Bacterial small subunit ribosomal RNA
Source: RNAcentral
GAGACAGCAGCCGCCACGGUAACACGAAGGGGGCUAGCGUUGUUCGGAUUUACUGGGCGUAAAGCGCACGUAGGCGGAUCGAUCAGUCAGGGGUGAAAUCCCAGAGCUCAACUCUGGAACUGCCUUUGAUACUGUCGAUCUGGAGUAUGGAAGAGGUGAGUGGAAUUCCGAGUGUAGAGGUGAAAUUCGUAGAUAUUCGGAGGAACACCAGUGGCGAAGGCGGCUCACUGGUCCAUUACUGACGCUGAGGUGCGAAAGCGUGGGGAGCAAACAGGAUUAGAUACCCCCGUAGUCCCUGUCUCUUAUAA